This 545-nucleotide ribosomal RNA is filed under the name Pseudomonas sp. Z4S-247. RNAcentral describes it as "bacterial SSU rRNA". It matches the Rfam family "Bacterial small subunit ribosomal RNA", at positions 54 to 594 of the family's 1533-position model. The record is from RNAcentral. Lineage: Bacteria; Pseudomonadati; Pseudomonadota; Gammaproteobacteria; Pseudomonadales; Pseudomonadaceae.
CAUGCAAGUCGAGCGGUAGAGAGAAGCUUGCUUCUCUUGAGAGCGGCGGACGGGUGAGUAAUGCCUAGGAAUCUGCCUGGUAGUGGGGGAUAACGUCCGGAAACGGACGCUAAUACCGCAUACGUCCUACGGGAGAAAGCAGGGGACCUUCGGGCCUUGCGCUAUCAGAUGAGCCUAGGUCGGAUUAGCUAGUUGGUGGGGUAAUGGCUCACCAAGGCGACGAUCCGUAACUGGUCUGAGAGGAUGAUCAGUCACACUGGAACUGAGACACGGUCCAGACUCCUACGGGAGGCAGCAGUGGGGAAUAUUGGACAAUGGGCGAAAGCCUGAUCCAGCCAUGCCGCGUGUGUGAAGAAGGUCUUCGGAUUGUAAAGCACUUUAAGUUGGGAGGAAGGGCAGUAAAUUAAUACUUUGCUGUUUUGACGUUACCGACAGAAUAAGCACCGGCUAACUCUGUGCCAGCAGCCGCGGUAAUACAGAGGGUGCAAGCGUUAAUCGGAAUUACUGGGCGUAAAGCGCGCGUAGGUGGUUCGUUAAGUUGGAUG